GUGAAUCAUCAAAUUUUUGAACGCAAAUUGCACUCUCUUCGGAGAGUAUGCCUGUUUGAGGGUCAGCCUAAAAAAAAUCGACAUCGUUGCUGUUUCGCGGUGGCGUUCGUCGGAAAUUGGGUCAUCUUAAAUCUUUUGGUUUUAAGCGACUUAAAAUACUCUACGAUUCCAUGAACGUUUCUAAGAUUAUUUCUUUACACGUUUAAGGUAUCGAUUUUUAUUAGGCGUGGCCGUCAUAUCGAUCAUGUCCAUAAUCGUUAACUGACCUCAGACAGGUAAGAGUACCCGCUGAACUUAAGCA
RNAcentral lists this unclassified non-coding RNA (301 nucleotides) under Glomeraceae sp. Its description in RNAcentral is "partial contains 5.8S ribosomal RNA, internal transcribed spacer 2, and large subunit ribosomal RNA". The stretch from base 1 to 65 matches the Rfam family "5.8S ribosomal RNA", at positions 84 to 154 of the family's 154-position model. The record is from RNAcentral. Lineage: Eukaryota; Fungi; Glomeromycota; Glomeromycetes; Glomerales; Glomeraceae.